This 251-nucleotide ribosomal RNA is filed under the name uncultured bacterium. RNAcentral describes it as "partial 16S ribosomal RNA". It matches the Rfam family "Bacterial small subunit ribosomal RNA", at positions 524 to 776 of the family's 1533-position model. The record is from RNAcentral.
GACGAAGGGGGCUAGCGUUGUUCGGAAUUACUGGGCGUAAAGCGAGUGUAGGUGGUUGUCAUAGUCAGGUGUGAAAGCCUUGAGCUCAACUCAAGAAAUGCACUUGAUACUGGGCGACUAGAGGACCGGAGAGGAUAGUGGAAUUCCAGUGUAGUGGUGAAAUACGUAGAGAUUGGGAAGAACACCAGUGGCGAAGGCGGCUAUCUGGACGGUUUCUGACACUAAGACUCGAAAGCGUGGGAGGCAACAGG